GGGCCCAUAGUCUAGUGGUAGAACAGGGCGUUUGCAACGCCCAGGCCCGGGUUCGAUUCCCGGUGGGUCCA
This 71-nucleotide transfer RNA is filed under the name archaeon. RNAcentral describes it as "tRNA-Ala". It matches the Rfam family "tRNA". Rfam says of the family: Transfer RNA (tRNA) molecules are approximately 80 nucleotides in length. Their secondary structure includes four short double-helical elements and three loops (D, anti-codon, and T loops). RNAcentral also lists the same sequence under 1 other name. The record is from RNAcentral.